GAGCUUCGUAUGCAGGCUGAAGCAUGACCGUAAGGACAUGUGGACAGUAUACGAGUGAGAAUGUUGGCAUGAGUAGCGAGACGUGGGUGAGAAUCCCACGGGCCGUAAACCCAAGGUUUCCAGGGGAAGGUUCGUCCGCCCUGGGUUAGUCGGGACCUAAGCCGAGGCCGAAAGGCGUAGGUGAUGGACAACAGGUUGAUAUUCCUGUACCGCCAAUAAGCGUUUGAGAGAUGGAGUGACACAGUAGGAUAAGCUAACCGUACUGUUGGUUAUGUACGGCUAAGCAUUGAGGCAGUCUAAAUAGGCAAAUCCGUUUAGACAAUGCUAGGAUGUGAUGGGGAAGCCCUUCGGGGCGAAGUAGCUGAUUUCACACUGUCAAGAAAAGCUUCUAUCGAGUUUAAAGGCGCCCGUACCGUAAACCGACACAGGUGGGUGAGGAGAGUAUCCUAAGGCCAGCGAGAGAACUAUUGUUAAGGAACUCGGCAAAAUGACCCCGUAACUUAGGGAGAAGGGGUGCCUGUCUAUGACAGGCCGCAGAGAAUAGGCCCAAGCGACUGUUUACCAAAAACACAGGUUUCUGCUAAGUCGCAAGACGAUGUAUAGGAGCUGACGCCUGCCCGGUGCUGGAAGGUUAAGGGGAUCUGUUAGAGCAAUCGAAGCAGUGAACUUAAGCCCCAGUAAACGGCGGCCGUAACUAUAACGGUCCUAAGGUAGCGAAAUUCCUUGUCGGGUAAGUUCCGACCCGCACGAAAGGCGUAACGAUUUGGGCACUGUCUCAACAAUAGACUCGGUGAAAUUGUAAUCCCGGUGAAGAUGCCGGGUACCUGCGACAGGACGGAAAGACCCCAUGGAGCUUUACUGUAGCUUGACGUUGGGUCUUGGUACUACAUGUACAGGAUAGGUGGGAGACUAUGAAGCAUGGACGCCAGUCUGUGUGGAGUCAUCCUUGGGAUACCACCCUUGUAGUACUGGGAUCCUAACCAUAGGCCUUGAAUCAGGUCUUGGAACACCGUCAGGUGGGCAGUUUGACUGGGGCGGUCGCCUCCUAAAAAGUAACGGAGGCGCUCAAAGGUUUCCUCAGCACGGUCGGAAAUCGUGCGAAGAGUGUAAAGGCAAAAGGAAGCUUGAUUGCAAGACAUACAGGUCGAGCAAGGACGAAAGUCGGACUUAGUGAUCCGGUGGUUCCGCAUGGAAGGGCCAUCGCUCAACGGAUAAAAGCUA
Molecule: ribosomal RNA, 1221 nt
Filed under: human gut metagenome
Description: bacterial LSU rRNA
Rfam family: Bacterial large subunit ribosomal RNA
Source: RNAcentral